AAUUUGUCUCUGAAGGGUGUUAAUAAUUUCUAUUUAGUUGAUUUUACAAAGAUAUCUGGAAAUAAUAGUAAAGUGGAUGGUGAAAUAAAGACAUGUCAAGUGCUAAAACUUGAAAAAGAAAAGGCGAUCAAUAAAAAGAAAAAUUUAACAGUUGAAAAAAAGUCAUGGAAUAAGUCUAGUAAAGUUGCGUUUAACAAAGAAUUUGCACUUCAUCUUAAAAAUAAUCGUGGAUAUCUAGACCGUAAAGAAAUAGAGGUAUUUGCAGAAAAAUUUUGUUUAGACCUCAAACAAAUCAGAAUUAGAAUUGUUAAUACUCGAAGAAUAAAACAGAGUUUUCGGAAGAAGACAGUUGCAUUUAUGGGAAUUGACGAAUGCUACUAGGUUGCUUUUAUGCCCUUAGCGGGCUGAUUUGACAAAAGGAAGCCUGCUACCAAAAAAUUAAAUGUCAUUUAAUAUCAUUAAAUCUGUAGAUUAAUACGCGUUAUUUUAGCAUAUAAGUAUAGUAUAAAUAGUAUAAACCUAUUUCCUAAAAAUAGGUAACUUGCUCUUUCUAUUAAAAUUUGUGUUAAAACUGUAA
Hydra vulgaris (swiftwater hydra) is the source of this 577-nucleotide non-coding RNA. The record is from RefSeq and is a predicted model, not a curated record. NCBI's taxonomy places the organism in Eukaryota, Metazoa, Cnidaria, Hydrozoa, Anthoathecata, Hydridae.